This 468-nucleotide ribosomal RNA is filed under the name uncultured bacterium. RNAcentral's name for it is "partial 16S ribosomal RNA". It matches the Rfam family "Bacterial small subunit ribosomal RNA", at positions 28 to 507 of the family's 1533-position model. The record is from RNAcentral.
GACGAACGCUGGCGGCGUGCUUAACACAUGCAAGUCGAACGGACAGGCCCUGCUUUUGUGGGGUGCUCGAGUGGCGAACGGGUGAGUAACACGUGAGUAACCUGCCCUUGACUUUGGGAUAACUUCAGGAAACUGGGGCUAAUACCGGAUAGGAGCUCCUGCUGCAUGGUGGUGGUUGGAGAGUUUCGGCGGUUGGGGAUGGACUCGCGGCUUAUCCGCUUGUUUGUGGGGUAGUGGCUUACCAAGGCUUUGACGGGUAGCCGGCCUGAGAGGGUGAACGGGGACAUGGGGACUGAGGGACGGCGCAGAAUGCUACGGGAGGCAGUAGUGGGGAAGAUUGCACAAUGGGCGGAAGCGUGAGGCGGCAAUCCCGGGAGCGGGAUGAUGGGUUUCGGGUUGAAAACCGCUUUCGCCUGAGACGAAGAGUGAGUGACGGUAAUUGGUAAAGAAGCAACGGCUAACUACGUG